UUCAUAUCCCAUGCCUUCACUGUCUCUGCAGAAGCUGCAGUAUAUUGAACCACUCCUUUGCCAUCUCCAGAUUUCACUAAAUAAAUAGAAGGCCCUACAUGGAUAAGCAUAGCAACUGAACAGUCUGCAAAUUAUAUGCACAGGCUCCUUCCUCAGUAUGAAGUGGAAAAUGGACCCUUUCUUGGGAACAACGAUGAAGUUAUCACUGUGGUCUGCUGAUUCCCCCAUCCAUAUUUUGUUGUUAUAAAGACAAGGCACACAUCUGUACAUCCAAUUGGUCGUGCUCUAGACACAUAGGUAUGGGCUCAUGCAAUGCAACAUGGCAAUCUACCAGUGGCCACACUCAGAGAAAAAUGACCAUCCUUCCCAGCUAUUGUCAACUGCCAGCAGAUCCUAGGAUAGGGGUGAGGUCCUGUGAGUCCCUCAUCCAUCCACACUGGAGUUCUUGACUGGCUUGAUCCUCUGUCGGUUGUACAUGAACAAUCACCGCGGUUGUGAGCUCGGGGACGCAACAGCCACACCAUGUCUGAAGGCACCAUCUCAUCAUGCCCCUUUCCAUCUCCUGCUCUCACAUUUGUUUUCCUCGCUGCUUUCAUUGUGCCCUCCGAACGUGGGGAGCAUGCUGGCACAGAUGUCACAGUGAGGGCUGAGCAUACCCAGUCACUUAUUCUCAACACUCUGACAAGUUACAAGACUGCAUUACCUGCUGUCUGUUACACAGUGAAGCUUUUCUGAGUACAGAUUUAAUAAUAAUUUAGGAAUUCAUAUUACAAUUCUGAAAAAAAGAAAGAAAUAUGGGCAACAAUGAGUCUGUCCUGUAUAGAACUGUCAAUGAUGCUGAGGACUGGAGUCCCCAGAGCCUUCCUGGUUAUCCAGGCUCAGCGGUACACACCCAGAGGGAAGGCACAUCUCCUAAGGUGAAGGGUGAUGAGGUCAAAUUUGAACAAAGGAAAAGGUCUUGGUUUUG
Mesocricetus auratus (golden hamster) is the source of this 967-nucleotide long non-coding RNA. RefSeq lists it as uncharacterized. NCBI's taxonomy places the organism in Eukaryota, Metazoa, Chordata, Mammalia, Rodentia, Cricetidae. The transcript is spliced from 2 exons. The record is from RefSeq and is a predicted model, not a curated record.